CCCUGCCACAAAAAGAAAAAUAUUAGGAAAACUUUAGUUUAUUCUUCAUGUGAAAUUUGUAAGUUCUUUGUUAAAUUAUGUGACAAGUCUUAGAUUUAGAUUUACUCAAUAAAAGCUAAAGAAAAUAUUGCGCGACAAUUUUUGUAUUAGCAAUUCGUUUAGUGUCAAACACAACUUAUUCUAGCAAUAAAUAGCCAAAAUUAACCCGCUGAAAAUCAAAGAUCUGUUUGCAUUAACAAUCAAAGUGUAGAGGAUGAACUGGGCUACCUCAAAUGCCUUAAAUGCGACAUUCCAUUUUUUCAGAAAACAUAAUACGAAAAACUUUCCAAGUUGUACAGUUUAGCAAGUUUUUUUUUUUUUUUAUGCAUAUAUAAAUAUAGCAAUGCGGAAAAUUGACCCCGUAACCUGAUGUUGCAGUUCCCCGCUACGAAAAGAAAAAUAUUAGGAAAACUUUAGUUGAUUCUUCCAAUCAAAUUGGUAAGUUCUUUGUUAAAUUAUGUGAGAAGCCUUAGAUUUAGAUUUCAUCAAUACAAGCUAAAGAAAAUAUUGUGCGACAGUUUGUGUGUACAAAUCUCAAAUUUUUGUGUUAGCAAUUUGUUUAUUGUCAAAGCACAAAUUAUUCUAGCAAUAGAUAGCCAAAAUUAACCCGCUGAAAAUCAAAGAUCUAUCUGCAAUGACAAUCAAAGUGUAGAGGAUGAAGUGGGCUACCUCAAAUGCUUUUAAUGCAACAUUCCAUUUUUUUAGAAAACGUAAUAUGAAAAUUUUCCAAUUUGUACAGUUUAGAAAGAUUUUUUUUUAUGCAUAUAUAAACAUGACAAUGCGGAAAACUGACCUGCGUACGACCUGAUGUUGCAAUUCCCUGCCAGGAAAAGAAAAAUAUUAGGAAAACUUUAGUUUAUUCUUCCAGUCAAAUUGGUAAGUUCUUUGUUAAAUUAUGUGACAAGCCUUAGAUUUAGAUUUCCUCAAUACAAGCUAAAGAAAAUAUUAAGCGACAGUUUGUGUGUACAAAUCUCAAAUUUUCGUAUUAGCAAUUUGUUUAGUGUCAAACACAACCUUUCUAGCAAUAAAUAGCCAAAAUUAAUCGGCUGAAGAUCAAAGAUCUAUUUGCAUUAAAAAUCAAAGUGUAGAGGAGGGAGUGGACCACUUCAAAUGCUUUAAAUAAAACAUUCCAUUAUUUCUGAAAAGAUAAUUUGAAAAUUUUACAAGUCGUCCCAGUUUAGCAAGAAUUUUUUUAGGUAUAAAUAAGCAUAACAAUGCGGAAAACUGACCCAAGUACGACUUAAUGUUGCAGUUCCCUGCCAUGAAAAGAAAAAUAUUGGGAAGACUUUAGUUUAUUCUUCGUGUCAAUUUGGUAAGUUCUUUUUUAAAUUAGGUGACAAGUCUUAGAUUUAGAUUUCCUCAAUACAAGCUAAAGAAAAUAUUGUAGGAGAGUAUGUGUGUACAAAUCUCAAGUUUUGUUAUUAGCAAUUUGUUUAGUGUCCAACACAACUUUUUUCUAGCAAUAAAUUUCCAAAAUUAAUCCAUUGAAAAUCAAAGAUCUGUUUGCAUUCAAAAUCAAAGUGUAGAGGAUGGAGUGGGCCACUUCAAAUGCUUUAAAUGC
RNAcentral lists this long non-coding RNA (1600 nucleotides) under Olea europaea (common olive). RNAcentral describes it as "long non-coding RNA (OEUR_LNC007646)". Lineage: Eukaryota; Viridiplantae; Streptophyta; Magnoliopsida; Lamiales; Oleaceae. The record is from RNAcentral.